GGAUCCAGACUUUGAUUAUGGCUCAGGAUGAACGCUAGCUACAGGCUUAACACAUGCAAGUCGAGGGGAAGCGACAUCGAAAGCUUGCUUUUGAUGGGCGUCGACCGGCGCACGGGUGAGUAACGCGUAUCCAACCUGCCCACCACUUGGGGAUAACCUUGCGAAAGUAAGACUAAUACCCAAUGACGUCUCUAGAAGACAUCUGAAAGAGAUUAAAGAUUUAUCGGUGAUGGAUGGGGAUGCGUCUGAUUAGCUUGUUGGCGGGGUAACGGCCCACCAAGGCUACGAUCAGUAGGGGUUCUGAGAGGAAGGUCCCCCACAUUGGAACUGAGACACGGUCCAAACUCCUACGGGAGGCAGCAGUGAGGAAUAUUGGUCAAUGGACGAGAGUCUGAACCAGCCAAGUAGCGUGCAGGAUGACGGCUCUAUGGGUUGUAAACUGCUUUUAUAAGGGAAUAAAGUGAGCCUCGUGAGGCUUUUUGCAUGUACCUUAUGAAUAAGGACCGGCUAAUUCCGUGCCAGCAGCCGCGGUAAUACGGAAGGUCCGGGCGUUAUCCGGAUUUAUUGGGUUUAAAGGGAGCGUAGGCCGGAGAUUAAGCGUGUUGUGAAAUGUAGAUGCUCAACAUCUGCACUGCAGCGCGAACUGGUUUCCUUGAGUACGCACAAAGUGGGCGGAAUUCGUGGUGUAGCGGUGAAAUGCUUAGAUAUCACGAAGAACUCCGAUUGCGAAGGCAGCUCACUGGAGCGCAACUGACGCUGAAGCUCGAAAGUGCGGGUAUCGAACAGGAUUAGAUACCCUGGUAGUCCGCACGGUAAACGAUGGAUGCCCGCUGUUGGUCUGAAUAGGUCAGCGGCCAAGCGAAAGCAUUAAGCAUCCCACCUGGGGAGUACGC
RNAcentral lists this ribosomal RNA (893 nucleotides) under uncultured Bacteroidota bacterium. RNAcentral describes it as "bacterial SSU rRNA". It matches the Rfam family "Bacterial small subunit ribosomal RNA", at positions 1 to 885 of the family's 1533-position model. The record is from RNAcentral. Lineage: Bacteria; Pseudomonadati; Bacteroidota.